GUUUAUGUAGCUCAGUGGCAGAGCACUUGCCAGCAUAUGUGAGACCUGGGGUUCAAAUCCCAGCACUAUCA
RNAcentral lists this transfer RNA (71 nucleotides) under Cavia porcellus (domestic guinea pig). It matches the Rfam family "tRNA". Rfam says of the family: Transfer RNA (tRNA) molecules are approximately 80 nucleotides in length. Lineage: Eukaryota; Metazoa; Chordata; Mammalia; Rodentia; Caviidae. The record is from Rfam by way of RNAcentral.